This 701-nucleotide ribosomal RNA is filed under the name uncultured bacterium. Its description in RNAcentral is "bacterial SSU rRNA". It matches the Rfam family "Bacterial small subunit ribosomal RNA", at positions 71 to 804 of the family's 1533-position model. The record is from RNAcentral.
GGCCCUAGCUUGCUAGGUGUCCUUAGUGGCGCACGGGUGAGUAACGCGUGGGAACCUGCCCAGAAGCGGGGAACAACCAUUGGAAACGAUGGCUAAUACCGCAUACGCCCUCCGGGGGAAAGGCUUCGGCCACUUUUGGAUGGUCCCGCGUCUGAUUAGCUUGUUGGUAAGGUAACGGCUUACCAAGGCGACGAUCAGUAGCUGGUCUGAGAGGAUGAUCAGCCACACUGGGACUGAGACACGGCCCAGACUCCUACGGGAGGCAGCAGUGGGGAAUAUUGGACAAUGGGGGAAACCCUGAUCCAGCAAUGCCGCGUGAGUGAAGAAGGCCCUAGGGUUGUAAAACUCUUUCAACUGUGAAGAUGAUGACGGUAGCAGUAGAAGAAGCUCCGGCUAACUCCGUGCCAGCAGCCGCGGUAAUACGGAGGGAGCUAGCGUUGUUCGGAAUUACUGGGCGUAAAGAGCACGUAGGUGGCGAAGAUAGUCAGUGGUGAAAGGCCUGGGCUCAACCCAGGAACUGCCAUUGAUACUGCUUUGCUAGAGUCCGGGAGAGGAUAGCGGAAUUUCCAGUGUAGAGGUGAAAUUCGUAGAUAUUGGAAAGAACACCAGUUGCGAAGGCGGCUAUCUGGACCGGUACUGACACUGAGGUGCGAAAGCGUGGGGAGCGAACAGGAUUAGAUACCCUGGUAGUCCACGCCGUU